GGACUACUCGGGUUUCUAAUCCUGUUUGCUCCCCACGCUUUCGCGUCUCAGCGUCAGUAUCCGUCCAGAUGGUCGCCUUCGCCACCGGUGUUCCUCCCCAUAUCUACGAAUUUCACCUCUACUUGGGGAAUUCCACCAUCCUCUCCGGUACUCAAGCUCUGCAGUUUCGGGCGCACUUCCUCGGUUAAGCCGAGGGAUUUCACACCCGACUUGCAAAGCCGCCUACACGCGCUUUACGCCCAAUAAUUCCGAACAACGCUUGCACCCUCUGUAUUACCGCGGCGGCUGGCAC
This 292-nucleotide ribosomal RNA is filed under the name uncultured bacterium. RNAcentral describes it as "partial 16S ribosomal RNA". The record is from RNAcentral.